Molecule: ribosomal RNA, 253 nt
Filed under: uncultured bacterium
Lineage: Bacteria
Description: partial 16S ribosomal RNA
Rfam family: Bacterial small subunit ribosomal RNA
Source: RNAcentral
UACGAAGGGGGCUAGCGUUGCUCGGAAUCACUGGGCGUAAAGGGCGCGUAGGCGGCCUGAUAAGUAGGGGGUGAAAUCCUGCGGCUUAACCGCAGGGCUGCCUUCUAAACUGUCAGGCUUGAGCACAGUAGAGGCAGGUGGAAUUCCCGGUGUAGCGGUGGAAUGCGUAGAGAUCGGGAAGAACAUCAGUGGCGAAGGCGGCCUGCUGGGCUGUUGCUGACGCUGAGGCGCGACAGCGUGGGGAGCAAACAGG